AUUGUGUAAAUGCGUCUCAAGGAGUAGACACACUUUUGUGAAGAUUACUCAACAUUUGAACCACAGAAGACGGCAAAUACUGUUGAACAUUUCUGUCCUCACCCCUCAGAGCUCUACUGAGCUAUUUGGACAAUCCCUACUAAGCGGGGUUUACUGCAGUGCAUUGAAACAAUCUUCACAGAGAUAUACAUUAAGUCAAGUCCUGAAAUGACGAAUUCCGCUACUCCCAGGCACUGUGCGGAGGCUCAGAAAAUCACUCAUCUAGGAUGCAGAGUGAAGAGGAAUUCCAGCCCAGCAGGAGAUAGAGAGGCAAUAGCUUGGCCAUAGACUGUCCCAUCAGUACUGCAUCAUAAUCUCACUCCAGAUUCCCUGGAAGCUCUGAUUUGUCUGCCACACCAGUGUUUAAGAAGGGCUGGUUCGUGACAUUUCUCUGAUCCUCCUGCUUUCCCUUUUGGAUUCUCAUUGUCUCACGAAUCUUACAACUGGCUCCUACUGCACAUCUCCCUGCAGCUCUCCAAACAGACCCUGUUCCUGUGGACUCCUCCACCAAACACAGAGAGACUCUUCCAUUGAAGUGCAAUCAGAAACAUUGGCAAUGCAAGAAAGCUACAAAACUAUUUAGGUAAA
Macaca mulatta (Rhesus monkey) is the source of this 627-nucleotide non-coding RNA. NCBI's taxonomy places the organism in Eukaryota, Metazoa, Chordata, Mammalia, Primates, Cercopithecidae. The record is from RefSeq and is a predicted model, not a curated record.